UCAAAAUUUGGCAACCUUGUCAGCAGGAGACAACUGCUCCGAAGCCGAGCCAACGAAUGAUACACCCAUCGCUACGAAGCAACAAUAGAUUAUAGAUGCUGUUAGAAGUGAUAAGAUUUAUAUGCAGGCUACGGAUUUGAUGUGCAUUUAUUCUCUUAAUAAUUAAUAUAUUGAAUAUUGAAUUAUAGUUGCACAAGUCGAUAAUUUGAGUGCGUUGUUAAAAAUGAUUGCGGUUUAGUGGCAGUGGUUUAGCUAAGAUCGUCGUAUACAUACGUGUAUGCUGAACUAGCAUUAUAGUGAUCCUAGGUGCCAGUGCUUGCCCUUGCCGUAAAUCAACAGAUUCGCGAAUAUUUGAGGCGAAACAACGCUAAGAACCAGGCAUAGAAAUUGUUUGUUCGAGGAAAUUUGAAUAUU
Molecule: long non-coding RNA, 414 nt
Organism: Armigeres subalbatus
Lineage: Eukaryota; Metazoa; Arthropoda; Insecta; Diptera; Culicidae
Exons: 3
Source: RefSeq, a predicted model, not a curated record